This 238-nucleotide long non-coding RNA is filed under the name Lathyrus oleraceus (garden pea). Its description in RNAcentral is "Pisum sativum (pea) long non-coding RNA (PSAT_LNC001090)". Lineage: Eukaryota; Viridiplantae; Streptophyta; Magnoliopsida; Fabales; Fabaceae. The record is from RNAcentral.
UUGUCCAGCAAGCUGCCGAGGCAUGUUGUGAACGAAAGAGGAAUUGAGGUCGAUCCUGCUAAAAGAAAAAAGAAAAAAGAAAAAAAAAAGAGAACAGUGCAAGAAACGCCUGAACCAAAAAAAAAAGGGGAAGAGAAAAGAAAUCAAAUGGUCAGGUGGAAUGAUGACUGCCAAGGGGCAUGGAAAGAAAAAAUGAGUAGCAGGAACCUCUGAUUCUGAUACCUUUCUUGGAAGAAAC